ACGAACGCUGGCGGCGUGCCUAAACUAUGCGAGUCGCGCGGGGUUUUAUUGCAAACCGCAAGGGGAGUGAUAAAACCUAGCGGCGAACGGGUGAGUAACGCGUGAGUAACCUACCCCCGGGACCGGGAUAACUCCGAGAAAUCGGGGCUAAUACCAGAUAGGAAGCUGGAGUGCAUGCUUCGGCUUGGAAAGGAGCAAUCCACCCAGGGAGGGGCUCGCGUCCUAUCAGCUUGUUGGUGGGGUAACGGCCUACCAAGGCUGCGACGGGUAGCCGGUCUGAGAGGAUGGCCGGCCACACUGGGACUGAGACACGGCCCAGACUCCUACGGGAGGUAGCAAGUGGGAAUCUUGCACAAUGGACGAAAGUCUGAUGCAGCGACGCCGCGUGAGGGAUGAAGGCUCUCGGGUCGUAAACCUCUGUUGACAGGGAAGAAUAACUGACGGUACCUGUCGAGGAAGCCUCGGCUAACUCCGU
Molecule: ribosomal RNA, 475 nt
Filed under: uncultured bacterium
Lineage: Bacteria
Description: bacterial SSU rRNA
Rfam family: Bacterial small subunit ribosomal RNA
Source: RNAcentral